Molecule: ribosomal RNA, 376 nt
Filed under: uncultured bacterium
Lineage: Bacteria
Description: bacterial SSU rRNA
Rfam family: Bacterial small subunit ribosomal RNA
Source: RNAcentral
UAAGACGAACCGUGCAAACGUUAUUCGGAAUCACUGGGCUUAAAGGGCGCGUAGGCGGGUAACCAAGUCCGGGGUGAAAGCCUCCAGCUUAACUGGAGAAGUGCCUCGGAUACUGGUCGUCUCGAGGAGGGUAGGGGCAUCUGGAACUAGCGGUGGAGCGGUGAAAUGCGUUGAUAUCGCUAGGAACUCCGAUGGCGAAGGCAAGGUGCUGGACCCUUUCUGACGCUGAGGCGCGAAAGCCAGGGGAGCGAACGGGAUUAGAUACCCCGGUAGUCCUGGCCCUAAACGAUGAGAACUAGAUAGCGGGAUUGAUAUGGUCUCGCUGUCGGAGCAAAAGUGCUAAGUUCUCCGCCUGGGGAGUAUGGUCGCAAGGCUG